GAUGAACGCUGGCGGCGUGCCUAAUACAUGCAAGUCGAGCGAACAGAUGAGGAGCUUGCUCCUCUGACGUUAGCGGCGACGGGUGAGUAACACGUGGAUAACCUACCUAUAAGACUGGGAUAACUUCGGGAAACCGGAGCUAAUACCGGAUAAUAUAUUGAACCGCAUGGUUCAAUAGUGAAAGACGGUUUUGCUGUCACUUAUAGAUGGAUCCGCGCCGCAUUAGCUAGUUGGUAAGGUAACGGCUUACCAAGGCGACGAUGCGUAGCCGACCUGAGAGGGUGAUCGGCCACACUGGAACUGAGACACGGUCCAGACUCCUACGGGAGGCAGCAGUAGGGAAUCUUCCGCAAUGGGCGAAAGCCUGACGGAGCAACGCCGCGUGAGUGAUGAAGGUCUUCGGAUCGUAAAACUCUGUUAUUAGGGAAGAACAAAUGUGUAAGUAACUAUGCACGUCUUGACGGUACCUAAUCAGAAAGCCACGGCUAACUACGUG
RNAcentral lists this ribosomal RNA (496 nucleotides) under uncultured bacterium. Its description in RNAcentral is "partial 16S ribosomal RNA". It matches the Rfam family "Bacterial small subunit ribosomal RNA", at positions 28 to 507 of the family's 1533-position model. The record is from RNAcentral.